RNAcentral lists this ribosomal RNA (988 nucleotides) under Salmonella enterica subsp. enterica serovar Dublin. Its description in RNAcentral is "partial 23S ribosomal RNA". It matches the Rfam family "Bacterial large subunit ribosomal RNA", at positions 347 to 1227 of the family's 2925-position model. Lineage: Bacteria; Pseudomonadati; Pseudomonadota; Gammaproteobacteria; Enterobacterales; Enterobacteriaceae. The record is from RNAcentral.
AAGGCGCGCGAUACAGGGUGACAGCCCCGUACACAAAAGCGUAUGUGCUGUGAGCUCGAUGAGUAGGGCGGGACACGUGGUAUCCUGUCUGAAUAUGGGGGGACCAUCCUCCAAGGCUAAAUACUCCUGACUGACCGAUAGUGAACCAGUACCGUGAGGGAAAGGCGAAAAGAACCCCGGCGAGGGGAGUGAAAAAGAACCUGAAACCGUGUACGUACAAGCAGUGGGAGCCCCACCACUAAGCCAGUGGUGAACUCCACAUACGCAUCCUUUGCUGAGGAUACGGUUAACGGAGCGAAAGCGACGUUCAACCGCAAAAGAAGCAGAGGGGGCUUAGUGGUGGGGUGACUGCGUACCUUUUGUAUAAUGGGUCAGCGACUUAUAUUCUGUAGCAAGGUUAACCGAAUAGGGGAGCCGGAGGGAAACCGAGUCUUAACCGGGCGUUAAGUUGCAGGGUAUAGACCCGAAACCCGGUGAUCUAGCCAUGGGCAGGUUGAAGGUUGGGUAACACUAACUGGAGGACCGAACCGACUAAUGUUGAAAAAUUAGCGGAUGACCUGUGGCUGGGGGUGAAAGGCCAAUCAAACCGGGAGAUAGCUGGUUCUCCCCGAAAGCUAUUUAGGUAGCGCCUCGUGAAUUCAUCUCCGGGGGUAGAGCACUGUUUCGGCUAGGGGGCCAUCCCGGCUUACCAACCCGAUGCAAACUGCGAAUACCGGAGAAUGUUAUCACGGGAGACACACGGCGGGUGCUAACGUCCGUCGUGAAGAGGGAAACAACCCAGACCGCCAGCUAAGGUCCCAAAGUCAUGGUUAAGUGGGAAACGAUGUGGGAAGGCCCAGACAGCCAGGAUGUUGGCUUAGAAGCAGCCAUCAUUUAAAGAAAGCGUAAUAGCUCACUGGUCGAGUCGGCCUGCGCGGAAGAUGUAACGGGGCUAAACCAUGCACCGAAGCUGCGGCAGCGAACGUAUCACUUAAAGCGAUUCAGCGGG